GAUGAACGCUGGCGGCGUGCCUAAUACAUGCAAGUCGAGCGAACAGACGAGGAGCUUGCUCCUCUGACGUUAGCGGCGGACGGGCGAGUAACACGUGGAUAACCUACUUAUAAGACUGGGAGAACUUCGUGAAACCGGAGCUAAUACCGGAUAAUAUAUUGAACCGCAUGGUUCAAUGGUGAUUCACGGUUUUGCUGUCACUUAUAGAUGGAUCCGCGCCGCAUUAGCUAGUUGGUAAGGUAACGGCUUACCAAGGCAACGAUGCGUAGCCGACCUGAGAGGGUGAUCGGCCACACUGGAACUGAGACACGGUCCAGACUCCUACGGGAGGCAGCAGUAGGGAAUCUUCCGCAAUGGGCGAAAGCCUGACGGAGCAACGCCGCGUGAGUGAUGAAGGUCUUCGGAUCGUAAAACUCUGUUAUUAGGGAAGAACAAAUGUGUAAGUAACUAUGCACGUCUUGACGGUACCUAAUCAGAAAGCCACGGCUAACUACGUG
Molecule: ribosomal RNA, 497 nt
Filed under: uncultured bacterium
Lineage: Bacteria
Description: partial 16S ribosomal RNA
Rfam family: Bacterial small subunit ribosomal RNA
Source: RNAcentral